GACAGAGGGUGCAAACGUUGUUCGGAAUUACUGGGCGUAAAAGCGCGUGUAGGCGGCCCUGCAAGUCGGGUGUGAAAUCCCACGGCUCAACCGUGGAAGUGCACUCGAAACUGCAGGGCUAGAGUCCUGGAGAGGAAGGUGGAAUGCUUGGUGUAGAGGUGAAAUUCGAUAGAUAUCAAGCGGAACACCGGGUGGCGAAGG
This 201-nucleotide ribosomal RNA is filed under the name uncultured bacterium. RNAcentral's name for it is "partial 16S ribosomal RNA". It matches the Rfam family "Bacterial small subunit ribosomal RNA", at positions 524 to 721 of the family's 1533-position model. The record is from RNAcentral.